CAGUAUCGUAAGGGCAAUUUGGCAACAAUGGAAGGAAACAAAAAAAUUGCCGUAAAGAGACUGAUACCGAAAGUUGGUCGCAGUUUUCAAGAUGGCGUCUGUAAAUUUAUACGCGAGAAAUCGCAACGAAGACAAAAUAAUGUUAUUUUUUAAUUGUUUUGACGAUGCAAAAGCUUACAUAAAAAGAAAUGAAAUUGAUACGAAUAACCGUUACAUGAUGGGUUACAGCACAAAAAAACUUUGGUAAUUCAGUUGUUACUUCAUCCUCCCAUAAGGUUUGUUGGGUCCAUGGGGUGAACCCUUACAUGUAUGUGAGCCUAGGACAUCAGGUUCUGAAAUGCCAACAUGGUACAGAAAAGAACAAGAAGAAAAAACUGGAAAAGGAGAAGACAAUGACAGUUAGCAGUGAGCAACACUCAUAUGCUAAAAAGAAAACAAGGCAUGCAGUGCAGCCCUCACAAAAAAUGGACUGUCCUGCUUCUAAUACUGAACAUUUACCAAGCUCUACAAUAUUACAGUAUUUGCAUAUUUUGACGAUUUAAAACAUUUAAAAGUUUAAGCAUUACGAAGGAAUAAUUUCGCGAGUUCUGUUGUUAUCAUUAUAUUUUGUGACAGUACGAUGAUUGCUGAAUCAUAUAAAGUAUAACAUACACAUAUUACUUACUAUACGAGCACGGAUGGGCGAGUUGUUUACGUUCUAAGAUUUUUUCUCAAAUGGUCAUUUGUUUGAGACUAGUUAAGGAUCACUUUUUUAUAUUUAAUUUUAUUCUUGUUUAAUUAUUGAGCUAUUUAAUUCCGAUGUUAACAUUUAUCUUU
Molecule: long non-coding RNA, 816 nt
Organism: Dreissena polymorpha
Lineage: Eukaryota; Metazoa; Mollusca; Bivalvia; Myida; Dreissenidae
Exons: 3
Source: RefSeq, a predicted model, not a curated record